AUUUUCAGCUGACCCAGCCCUUUUAUUUCAAUGGGCCAGUACUCUUCAAUCAAAUUUUAUUUUCCAACCCACCAAUAGAGACCCAUCUGACUGGAGCAAUAACCCAUUCCCAACCCAGUUUCUGCAAUUCGCCAUCCUACCAAUCCCCAGCCCGUUCUCAAUCCCUUUGACCCGGCCCACCUUUUUUCCAAGAAGAAAUCAAGAGCGUGGUAACAACAAGAAAGCGAUGCUUGUUCAGCCGAAUGGAGACUCGAGGCGUGAACAACAAAUUUCCAACCCUGCACAUCCUACUCAAUCCGUACAGUCGCAGCCGCAAAGACAAGGCGCGUUUUUCGUCCUUUUUCAGUGCGAGAUCAAUCCACCUAGCAACGAGGACUGUUAGUUCAAUCCCAGGCGUCGAUUUCCCCUUCCAUUUCGGGAAUGAGUUUGAAAACAUCAUAAAUAAUGUUUAUCCAAAUUGGUGAAAGGUGUUUGAAUUUUGAAUUGAGGAUGGGUUUUGGUUCGGAUCUGAAAUUUCACAUUUUUCCCUCCAAAGGGAAGUUUUAGCCCUAAUUCUUAUCUAUAUAUAAACUCUUUUUAUUUUUAUUGUGGGGGAGGGGGAGUAAAAUUAUUUACCGAGAUUUUUUUUUUAGUUGGGAAAAUUCUGAACUUGGGGAAAGAUUUUGGUUUGGAGAAGAUAGUUUGAAAGUUGGGAGAAAGUAGUAACUAUAAGCUACAAAAAUUUCAUAUAUAAAUACAUAGGAAUAUCUCGUUGAGGUAGAGAUAUCGAAAGCUUAGGUAUAGUUUGAUUACUUGUUCGUUUCUCAUCCACUAAAAUCUCGUGCAGUCGCUAGAAAGUCGUUCCCCUGCUCGUUUGGCCUCGAUUCGCUGCAUACAGAAAAAACUCUACCUUGCAUGUUCAAAGGGGACACAAAAUCCUCGAAACUACUUUUGCCCGAAUAAGCCAAUCCAAAAUCGAAUAACAGGUCUCGGAGCCGAGAUAUGAAGUAGAUUGGAGAUUUGAAAGAAGAUCGGGUCAAAAGGCCCAUUUUUAUUUACCCUACAUAAUUGUAUUUUGUUACUUUUGGGUCUAGGCCCUUAUCAUAUUGUAUUAUCAUUAUUUUACUAGUUAAGGACAGGUACAAUCGAAUGGGCCUAAGGGCCCAAAAUGAAAUAUGUCCAAAUAUAGGUCCAGGUGUAUAGAAAACCCGAUUUUGGAACCAA
This is a long non-coding RNA of Solanum pennellii, 1203 nucleotides long. RefSeq lists it as uncharacterized. The record is from RefSeq and is a predicted model, not a curated record. The transcript is spliced from 2 exons. NCBI's taxonomy places the organism in Eukaryota, Viridiplantae, Streptophyta, Magnoliopsida, Solanales, Solanaceae.